AUUGAACGCUGGCGGCAUGCUUUACACAUGCAAGUCGAACGGCAGCGCGGGCUUCGGCCUGGCGGCGAGUGGCGAACGGGUGAGUAAUACAUCGGAACGUGCCCAGUAGUGGGGGAUAGCUCGGCGAAAGCCGGAUUAAUACCGCAUACGACCUGAGGGUGAAAGCGGGGGAUCUUCGGACCUCGCGCUAUUGGAGCGGCCGAUGGCAGAUUAGCUAGUUGGUGGGGUAAAGGCCUACCUAGGCGACGAUCUGUAGCUGGUCUGAGAGGACGACCAGCCACACUGGGACUGAGACACGGCCCAGACUCCUACGGGAGGCAGCAGUGGGGAAUUUUGGACAAAGGGCGAAAGCCUGAUCCAGCAAUGCCGCGUGUGUGAUGAAGGCCUUCGGGUUGUAAAGCACUUUUGGCGGGAACGAAAAGGACUGUGCCAAUACCACGGUUCGAUGACGGUACCCGCAGAAUAAGCACCGGCUAACUACGUG
This 484-nucleotide ribosomal RNA is filed under the name uncultured bacterium. Its description in RNAcentral is "partial 16S ribosomal RNA". It matches the Rfam family "Bacterial small subunit ribosomal RNA", at positions 29 to 507 of the family's 1533-position model. The record is from RNAcentral.